This is a long non-coding RNA of Vicia villosa (hairy vetch), 591 nucleotides long. RefSeq lists it as uncharacterized. NCBI's taxonomy places the organism in Eukaryota, Viridiplantae, Streptophyta, Magnoliopsida, Fabales, Fabaceae. The record is from RefSeq and is a predicted model, not a curated record. The transcript is spliced from 3 exons.
GUCUUUUUCUUUUCUUUCUCUGUUUCCAUUUUCACUUUCUCAUUUCUUUUUCUUUCUACUUUCUCUUCCCUCUUUUGGUUUCACAUCAAUAUCUUCUUUAUCUUUCUCUUUGGUUUUUUGGUUAUGAACUCAUGUAUUUAUUUUAGAUCUUGCAGAAGCACAAGUUGAAUGCAAAGAAAAUGUUCAAGAUCUUUAUGGUAUGUGCAAUAAAAGGUGCAGAUGAACUAAUCGAAGAACAACGACCCUUCCAUUUUUUGUAUUUUCUACCAUCUAUGUUGUGUCAAGGUUGAAGGAUGCAAAGGUUAGAGCUCAAAUCUGUCUCACAUGUUUCAGAUCUACAAGGUUAGAGUUUGAAUCUGCCGUGCAUGUUUCAGAUCUACAAAGUUAGAGUUUCAAUGCGCCGUGUAUGUUUCAAGGUUCUCUAAUCUUUCACUAAAUGGAAGGUUUAUAAUUUAUUUUUGUUUUUAUUUAUAUUCUUCCUUCUUGCUUUUUUUUUACUAACAUUUUAUAUUGUAUUUUUUUCUUUUUUAUUUCAUAUUUCAGUUGUUGCUUUAGAGAUCGAUUAUGUUUAACAGGAUUGAAGCUGAUAUA